Molecule: ribosomal RNA, 434 nt
Filed under: uncultured Lachnospiraceae bacterium
Lineage: Bacteria; Bacillati; Bacillota; Clostridia; Lachnospirales; Lachnospiraceae
Description: bacterial SSU rRNA
Rfam family: Bacterial small subunit ribosomal RNA
Source: RNAcentral
ACGGGAGGCAGCAGUGGGGAAUAUUGCACAAUGGGGGAAACCCUGAUGCAGCGACGCCGCGUGAGCGAUGAAGUAUUUCGGUAUGUAAAGCUCUAUCAGCAAGGAAGAUAAUGACGGUACUUGACUAAGAAGCUCCGGCUAAAUACGUGCCAGCAGCCGCGGUAAUACGUAUGGAGCAAGCGUUAUCCGGAUUUACUGGGUGUAAAGGGAGCGUAGACGGUCGGGCAAGUCUGAUGUGAAAGCCCGGGGCUCAACCCCGGAACUGCAUUGGAAACUGUUUGACUAGAGUGCAGGAGAGGUAAGUGGAAUUCCUAGUGUAGCGGUGAAAUGCGUAGAUAUUAGGAGGAACACCAGUGGCGAAGGCGGCUUACUGGACUGUAACUGACGUUGAGGCUCGAAAGCGUGGGGAGCAAACAGGAUUAGAUACCCUGGUA